This is a long non-coding RNA of Gopherus flavomarginatus (Mexican gopher tortoise), 7460 nucleotides long. RefSeq lists it as uncharacterized. The transcript is spliced from 3 exons. The record is from RefSeq and is a predicted model, not a curated record. Lineage: Eukaryota; Metazoa; Chordata; Testudines; Testudinidae.
GCUUGUUUGUGCAAAUAGCCUGGGAUCAGGCUAUGAUUCCUGGAUCAUUUCUCUCCUUGCGGAGGUUGGGGGACAAGAGCGAACUCUGUGACAUCUCGGGGAUGCAGCAGGUUCCUGUGGCCCCUAUGUCGAGGGGAAGGACUUAGAGGCAGCGGGGAGAGGAUGUGAAGCAGGACCUGGCGACAAAAGGGGGGCCCUACCGAUACCCCCACUCAGGAGGCUCAGGUGUGUGAAACAAAUCCCAAACCCUCUGUUAUGAAUUUUUUUUGUUGGCACGCGCAGGAGGAAGUGAUGGACUGGUUCUUUCUGGAGAGCGGCUGCCAACCCCAAGCAGCCCCCUGCGGCCCCCCAGCCCCUUUGCCAGCAUUUGUUCCUAGCAGAAGGGCUGUUUGUGUGCUGUUUGGGCUCCUUUUCUUUGUUUUAAGUGUGGCUACAAUCAGCUGCUGAGAGGCUCACUGCUCCGGUUCGUUCUCUGCCAAUUUCACUGAGAGCUGGCACCACAGGCGGCUCCGGAGGCAACGAAGAGAGGCUGGGGAGGAUAGAUCAUGGAGGGGAAAAAAUGGACACAUGCCAUUGACGGAGCGGCGAGGCUGCCAGAAUGCCAGCAGGCAGCAUGGGGCCAAAAAAAAAAAAACCCCACACAGAGCAGAAAAGAAGCUGGCAGCCCAUCUCAAAGCAGGCGGUGGCUGAGUUGGGAGAGGUGCCAUGGAGGACGGGCUGCAGCGAGCAGGCAAUGCGGGAAAGAGAGAGAGAAAAACAGACAGACAAAUUGGCAGAGGCAGGACAGGUAGCAGACGGCGAAUCGGGAGAGGAAAAAGAUGCAGCCCGGCCCCAAAGGGAUCCCUGUUCAUCACUGGCUCUCACUGGGUCCAUCACACUGAGGAUGCCAUUUCUCCCACCGAGAGAGUACAGAGCUUUGACUGUAGGAUAGCUACGCAGCAGUCCAGUGGGAACCUCCACCGUCGUCCCCAUGAGCCCUCUCCCACUGCACACACUGAACUGCAUCAGCAUCCGCUGGCUUCGGGAGCUCGCAUACGCUGCUGUGAGAGAUGAGGCCAGGCCAGGUGCCUUCCCCUCCUCGUAGGAAUAUUCCUGGAUUUUGGCUCUUUCACUGGGAGGUGUAGGAGGAACCUCCGAGGCCUCAGCAGAGGAUGUCUUACAACAGCCAGGCGGCAGUGCCCAAUGUGUCUCUCCACACGUCGCCAGCUGGGUGUAAUGGUGCACGCGCGGCGUGAGCACACGGCACUGGGCCGCAGAGUUAGCGGUGUGCUGGGAGGAGGCGGGUUAUGUGCUUUCAGGGAUACACCCAUUGCUGCUCAGCUAUUGCCCGGGACACUUGGGACAGCCCUCUGGAAUGUGGGAAUGAGCACGAAGGCCUCCUGGAAUUUCACGAACAGCUCCUUUGGCACCGGGUCAUGGCUCAGACCGGCACAGGGGCCUAGUGAGAACAUGUCAGGGCACGUCCAGGGAAGGGGAAAGCAAUGGUGCCAUCUGGAGCGGUGGGCGAGGCACUCCGAACGGCACAAGGGACAGGAUGCAAAGGUUACAUGAUAUCAGUUAAAUCUACCCUGCAGCCCAACACGGUAUCUGCACUCACCUGGCAUGCGGUGACUCCUUCAUUAUCAAGGCCUGGCCAAGGUGGUGUCAGCUACGUGACACACUGCAAAGAAACUGGUGUGACCUGGGGAGGCACAGAGGGCAGCAGAGUCAGUCCUUACUAGGAGCGCAGGCCCAGCUGUAUCUGGGGGGAGGAGAAUGGGGUGCAGGAACUGAAGGCCUCAGCUGCCCCCUUGCCAGUCCCAGCAGAGGGACAUUUGUAGGAAAGGCUGCAGCUCCUGUGGACCAAAGUAUGGCUGCAUUGGAGAUUCCUGGGCUGAGCACAGCUGUUCUGAUCCCUUCCUGGCUCAAGGACAGUCGAUCAGCACGAAGGAUGGAAAGUCCAAACUGAGCAAAACAAAAGUCUGUUCGCCCCAUGUUUAAUUAGCUUCUGGAACUCACUGCCACCGGAUGUCGGUGAAGCCAAGAACUUCAUGAGAAUGAAAGAGGGACUGGACAUUUAUACAGAUAACAAGACUCUCCAAAGCUAUUAUCGUACGUACGUCAACCAAAAGAGGUUGAGAAGGCGUAUAAAAUCUCCUGCUUCAGGGCUUAAGCGAAUCUCCAGCUACAAGGGAUCCUGCUACCUAUUGGUAUCCAAUACCAAGAGGAGGCCAGAAGAUGAAGAUGUAGCUCUAUCUAUCUAACCAUCCCUCCGUUCAUCCCAUGCUCAUCACUGUGAUAAACGACUGCCUCCCGACAGAAUGACCCCAAUGUGAAUGAAGUGUUGUGUGCAGCACAUGGCCUGGGGCCGGAGAGCAGGAGAUAAGGGGAGCAGCAGAGAAAACGAGUGAAUUUUAGUUCUGAAAGUGGGACAAUGAUAGCUCUGGCUGGAGCCAGGCCAAGUUGGGCCCACGGCCCCCCAGCCCCCGGGUGUCUCUGCAGCUCCUGUGCUAUUCUCUUCCCAGGUUCAUUAGGAGGGCCCAGCUCCUGGCUUCCUCCAGAGAAUGCUGGGGAAAUAUGAAUGACGAGGAUGCAGUGAAAGGGAGAUGGUGGGUGAGAAAUGGUCUCCUCUGGCAGUGCCAGCUACUGUGCAAAUAAGGGGUCAGAUUGUGUUGUGAAGGCCAAAAAUAUAAUUGGGUUCAGAAAAGAAGUAGCUAAGUGCAUAGAAGACAGGUCCAUUUAUGGCUAUUGGCCAAGACGGUCAGGGGUGCAACCCCAUGCUCUAGGUGUCCCUAAAAAGCUGCCUGCCAGAAGCUGGGACUGGAUGAACGGAGAUGGAUCACUCAACAAUUACCCUGUUCUGGUCGUUCCCUCUGAAGUGCCUGGCACCAGCCACUGUUGGAAGACAGGACACCAGGCUGGGUGGACCAUUGCUGUGACCCACUGUGACUGUUCUGAUGUUCAGAUCCACGGACCCUGCUCUGGCUGCUUGGCAGGGGUCUCCUCAGGAGCUGGAGAACAGCUGUGAAGGAGAGGACACCCCCACCCCAACCCCAGAACCACCAGCAUGGACAGGUCCAAACUGACAGUCCAGGGAGGAAAGGCUCUGUACCCUGUGCCAAGCCCCUAGGCCUCCCUCUCUGCCCCUUCUCCUUAGUUUCCCCUCCAGGAGUGGGGACAGACUCUGACGACGUCAGGGUGGAUGUUGUUUUAACAGGUUCCAAGUGUCUCCACAUUUACAUUUGUUUCCAUUUAGCACAUUUAAAAGGCAGAAAGGAUGCUGUGAAUGUCACUGAGCAGGCACAAGAAGGAUGGGAGAGAAAUUCAUCACAGGCCACCUCUGUUCUGCCUGCCCUGCUCGUCCUCCCCCGGCACCGAGAGGACAGGCUCUCUCCGUUCCAUGGUCAGGGCUGCUGCUCUCUCCAGCGAGUGGCAAGGAGUCCCGGGUGUGCAGCCCCUGUGCAGGUGGAAGGGCGCUGGGGAAGCUGGGGGGUGCAUGCCCCUGACCUGCAGGAGGCAGGUGCCUUGACAAGUAGCUCCAGGGCUGUGCUGGCGAGGGGGCAGGCCAGAGCCCACAGUGUUCCUGGAGGUCUGACAGGACGGGCUGGAAGAUGAGGUCCUCCCAGCAGCUUUCCAGUCUCCCCUCACUCUGCUCAGGGCCUGAUUCUGAACAGCUCCACAUCUUGGUGCAGGUCAGCUCCAGACCCAGUGCCAGACCCUGGGACUGGGGCUCAUCCCCAGCAGAUUCAGAUGAGAAACUUCAGUUCUCCUUCUCUCCCGUCCCAUGCCGUUGGGGGAGGCCUCUCUGCCCAGGAGGUGCAGUCAGACGGACUGGGCGGGCAGGGCACCCUGGGGCUUGGCCCUAGCAGCCUGCAGGCAGGUGGGAGGUGGGUGUUUUCCUUGUAGGGGAGGGGGCCAAAUGCCUUGGAGAGGGUCUUGCCAGCGACGCUGGAGGCAGAGCUGCCUGCGCGGCGUGUGGCAGCAUCUCGGCAGCACUCAGGGAGGAAGCGGCUCAGCUUGAUGCGAAGCCCCCCACUGGCUCCUGCUCAUCGGAGUGAGCCAAAAUGACUCGGUUUGUCUGGAAACUGUGGGUGUCUUGAACGGGUUGGGGGGUAAUUUGUCUGUCUCCUGCAGCUGGCUGUCACUUCACAUCUGUGCACCAGUUUCAUUUUCACUAUCUGUAAAAAAUCCCAGGUCUGACAGGUAGUUAAAAAAAACCCAACCAGUAACCCACAAACCAUUCAUCUUGAGCAAAGCAAGUGGCUGGGAGCCUGGGACGGCUCUCCAGUGCUGGGGGGGAGGAUGGGGGGUGAGAGGAGACGCUGUUGGGACGGGGACACAGAGAUCAGAAUCACUGCUGGUCCCAUAUGACGGUAUAUCGCAGGGCUGUGCUGGGCCUGUGAGCGGCCUCGGCUGCAGCCGGAUGCUGUCUGGAGAGAGCAGAGGGGAAGCGCAUAAGCUACCCAUGGGAUUGCUGAACUGGGCUGAGAGGAGAGCUCAGCAAGGCGAAGGAUGGGGGCAAAUGGUGGUGGGAAAACUUUGGAAAUUUUGGUGUAAAAACGUUGGAUUUGUGAGAAGCGUGGAGCCACGCUAGAGAGGAAAGUGGGGACUGACCCUUCUCGAGCAGGUGCCAGGCCUGCACUGGGAGCUAGAAAUGGCCUGCAGGGCACGAGUGAUUUGUUUUGGGGUCUCAGACUGGAGAACAUGAGACGUCUUGUCCCAGGUGCACAGAAAGAGGAGCCGGGAGGUGUUCCCCCCUUGCCAUGGAAGUGGCUGGGUGAAGCCAAGGGAACAGGAAGCUCCCUGGCAUGAAACCAGAGACCAUAGAGCGUGUGGCUAGGAUGUCAGACUAUGCACAGAACAUGGGUACAGCGGAUAUUGUGUCUACAGUCACUGGUUUCCAGCUCAGUGUCACAUAGAGUCACUUAGGACCAGGACUCAAAAUUGUGAAAACUACUAUUAGAAAUGUAAUUCUCCUCUGUUUUAUGACAUCACAGAAUAUGGCGGAGCUGGCCACGCUGUCAUGCUAGGUAACUUUGUGGACAUAUGGUCACAGGCGUUUUCUGACAUGCUUUCAUCCCCGGCACCUCUCUGCUCCGUCUGCUCCAGCUCCCAGCACUACCCGCCCUUGAGAAGCAGCUGAUUCUCCCUGAGCAGCGAUAGAGGUGAGCUCUCUCUUGCUGCACGCUGGGCUUGUCCUGCCAUACCAAAGGGAGGCGAGAGAUGGUUUGGACCAGUGGUUCUCAUCCUGCGGCCCAAUCAGCUCACAGCUGCGACCCAUGUGACAUCCUCAGGGCCACACAGACAGUAUAUCUAUUGCGUGGAUGAGGCCCACCUAACACACAGAGCUGCAUAUGCAGCCCACAGUGGUAAUGUAAACAGGUUGAGACCCGCUGGUCUGGACAUUCGCUGUACAUUUGAUACAAUUACACAGUUAAGUGUGCGUGAUUUCAAAACACACAAAGUUAUUAAAAACCCACCGAAACUGCUCCAUUGUCAUUCCGUUCAAAAGCCAUUGUCACACAAGCGUCCUUUUAGAGUCUACGGAACUGGACAUCUUUCUAAUAUCGUAAUAUUAAACAGAUGUGACAUCUUGCUCCAUCCUGCUCUCACUGACCCCAGGGCAGCCCCAUUGCCAGAUGCCCAAGUGAGGUUUGCACACAGCCCUGCAGGAAUGCAUAAGAACAGACUUACUGGGUCAGACAAAAGGUCCAUCUAACCCAGGAUCCUGUCUUCCAACAGUGGCCAAUGCCAGAUGCCCCAGAGGGAAUGAACAGAACAGGGAAUCACCAAGUGAUCCAUCCCCUGUCGCCCAUUCCCAGCUUCUGGCAAACAGAGGCUAGGGACACCACCUCUUCCCCUCCUGGCGAAUAGCCAUUAAUGGACCUAUCCUCCAUGAACUUAUCUAGUUCUUUUUUGAACCCUGUUAUACUCUUGGCCUUCACAACAUCCUCUGGCAAGGAGUUCCACAGGUUGACUGUGCGUUAUGUGAAGAAAUACUUCCUUUUGUUUGUUUUAAACCUGCUGCCUAUUCAUUUCAUUUGGUGACCUCUAGUUCUUGUGUUAUGAGAAGGAGUAAAUAACACUUCCAUAUUUACUUUCUCUAUACCACUCAUGAUUUUAUAGAUCUCUAUCAUAUCCCUCCCUAGUCAACUCUUUUCCAAGCUGAAAAUUCCCAGUCUUAGUAAUCUCUCCUCAUACGGAAGCCAUUCUAUACCUCUAAUCAUUUUUGUUGCCCUUUUCUGAACCUUUUCUAAUUCCAUUAUAUCUUUUUUGAGAUGGGGUGACCACAUCUGCAGGCAAUAUUCAAGAUGUGGGCAUACCAUGGAUUUAUAUAAAGGCAAUGUGACAUUUUCUGUCUUACUAUCUAUCCCUUUCUUAAUGAUUCCCAACAUUCUGUUCGUUUUUUAGACUGCUGCUGCACAUCGAGUGGAUGAUUUCAGAGAACGAUCCACAAUGACGCCAAGAUCUCUUUCUUGAGUGGUAACAGCUAAUUUAGACCCCAUCAUUUUACAUGUAUAGUUGGGAUUAUGUUUUCCAGUGUGCAUUACUCUGCAUUUAUCAAUACAGGCAAGUCUCAUUUUACUCUGGGGUUACGUUCCGCUGUCAGCGCUUAAAGCAAAAAUCGUGUAUAGUCAAAAUUACAUUGAGUGUAAUGGCGGGUGGAAUCGCCCGCACUUCAGGUACAGUAUUUAAAUAGUUAUUUUUCUCUCUUGUUUUUCUUUUUGCUGACAGUGCAAAGCUGAAUUCGCGCAUGUUAAAUGUGCGUAAGAUGAGACUCGCCUCUACUGAAUGUCACCUGCCAUUUUGUUGCCCAGUCACCCAGUUUUGAGAGAUCCUUUUGUAGCUCUUCACAGUCUGCUUUGGACUUAACUAUCUUGAGUAGUUUUGUGUCAUCUGCAAAUUUUCCCACCUCACCGUUUACCUCUUUUUCCAGAUCGUUUACGUUAAAUAGGACUGGGGUCAGUACAGACCCCUGGGGGACACCACUAUUCACCUCUCUCCAUUCUGAAACUUGACCCUUUAUUCCUACCUUGCUCAGUAGGCAGGCAGGUGUGUGUGAACAGAGGAAGCCCUAGAUGUGUAAUAUAACACCCAGUGCAUGCUCCAGGGACAUGCCCUUUAGCCUGAAAAUCCAUCUAGGCACUUGUGAUUUGCCAGGACAGUCUGGGUGACCAGACUGCAGUAGCAGGGAGCGGAAAGUAAGUUCCGUCACACGGAGGUACAAAAGAAAGUGUUUGGCAAACGACGAGCCAGCGUGACUGUCUCACCUGUUCAUUGCAACGCCUUUCGCUGCCUCAGCCGUGGCCAGCACCGCUGACGCCUGACAGACCAAACAGCAGCCGCCAGAGAACACAGGAACCUCUGGUAGCAGCAGGCCUGAGCUCUUUGCUGCUGCGGCUCGCUGCACUGCAUGGAAGGGCCCAGCUUGCCGAGGGUUAACAUCUGAUUACAGCCUUUGUCUCUGCAUCAGUGUACAU